This 301-nucleotide ribosomal RNA is filed under the name uncultured bacterium. Its description in RNAcentral is "partial 16S ribosomal RNA". It matches the Rfam family "Bacterial small subunit ribosomal RNA", at positions 509 to 807 of the family's 1533-position model. The record is from RNAcentral.
CAGUCGCCGCGGGAAUACAGAGGGUGCGAGCGUUAAUCGGAUUUACUGGGCGUAAAGCGUGCGUAGGCGGCUAAUUGAGUCGGAUGUGAAAUCCCCGAGCUUAACUUGGGAAUUGCAUUCGAUACUGGUUAGCUAGAGUGUGGGAGAGGAUGGUAGAAUUCCAGGUGUAGCGGUGAAAUGCGUAGAGAUCUGGAGGAAUACCGAUGAAGAAGGCAGCCAUCUGGCCUAACACUGACGAUGAGGUACGAAAGCAUGGGGAGCAAACAGGAUUAGAUACCCGCGUAGUCCCUGUCUCUUAUAC